Molecule: long non-coding RNA, 2126 nt
Filed under: Ovis aries (sheep)
Lineage: Eukaryota; Metazoa; Chordata; Mammalia; Artiodactyla; Bovidae
Description: lncRNA (ENSOARG00000026588.1)
Source: RNAcentral
AUGUGUGCGUGUGUGUGUGCUCUGUCAUUUCAGUCAUAUCCAAUUCAAACAUGUGUCAGGAAUCGAAGCUGCAUCUCACCUGCACUGGCAGGCAGAUUCUUUACCCACUGUGCCACCUGGAAAGUCCCAUAUAAUCAAGAUAUUCUCCCUAUUUUAAAGUCAGAUGAUUUAGCAAGCUUUAUUUUAUCUACCACCUCUUUGCCAUGGGAAGUCACAUAUUCACAGGUUCUAGGGAUUAGGAUAUGUACAUCUUUGAAGGACUAUUAUUUUGCCACCACAUUUUCCAUGGCUGUUUUCUUUUGCUUAUGCUAGAUUUUGUCUUAUCUGGACCUCAGUCUCUGAUUUCCACAAAGCAAGUAUAGGUAUGAAAAACAGUUAUGAAUGUUUAGAGUGACAGUUUACACAAAUAAAGCUAAACUAUAUGAUAUAGAAUUUCUUUGUCUUAGCAAAGUAACAUCAUGCCAGCUGGGAAAUAUUAUUAUUAUUUUUUUAAACUCAUAAGGGAGCAAAAGGAUAUUCUUGCUUCUUUAAAAAUUUGGUAAUGGGAACUUGUGGAGAAAUCAUGAGAAAAAGUUUAGUCUCAUAUGGCUAUCAUUUUGAACAAACAAUGCUGGAAACUGGGGACUAUAUGCGUCUAUCCUGAAGAGAAAAUGGGGACCACAGCACCCAUGACAAGUUGGCAGGUUCCUUGUCACAUGGAUGGGAAUGGGAACUAGCCUUUUAUGGAAUAUUCUAUAGAAUUUUGAAAUUGCAACAAUACAAAGAAAACUUCUCUUGGUUUUAAUGCUCAUUUAAGAAUAAGUCUAAGUCAUGGUUGUCGAAAUGCUGAUGUUAUUUUGAUAACAACCACCCCCAAAGUGGCCUAGAGAUAAAUGUGAUACACUACUAGAUUAUACUUCAAAUAAUGAUAUCCCCUAAACCAUAAUUUUGUUCUUUAGUGAUAGGAUAUAAUUUUUAGAGAUAUACAUUGGGACCAAAACCCAAGGUAUAAAUGAUUAUUAGUCAAACAGUCAUGCCUCUCCCAGGCAUGCAUGUGUGCUAAGUAGCUUCAGUCAUGUCCAACUCUUUGCGAUCCUAUGGACUGUAGCCCAUCAGGCUUCUCUGUCCAAGGAAUUCUCCAAGCAAGUGGAGCGGGGUGCCAUGCCCUCCUCCAGGGGAUCUUCCCAACCCUCGGAUUGAACCUGGGUUUCUUAGGUCUCUUGCUUUGGCAGGUGGGUUCUUUACCGAUAGUGCCACUUGGGAAGCCUGCUGAUCCCAUACCCUGUUGCUAAUAAUUGUCUUCUUGUAGGAGAGGAAAAGACUCAGUUUGUGGCCAUGAGAACCCAAUUAUUUCAUCUAUCUCUUUUCUUCCUAUCUUGAGUGAUAUCUAAUAAGGACCAGAUCAUAGAGAUCUUCUUCCUACUUUAAGGCUAAGUAAUCUUCUGAAAAUUGAAAUGGGAAAGAUGAGAAGGGAUGAGGGCCUUCAUGAUAUCACUGAGCCACUGGACCAAGACUGGAACUACAUUAAGUUGACUCCUUGGUUGACUUGAGAGAAUCAAUGGCUUUAUUGUUCCACCUACUUUUAUUUCAUAUUCUGAAGCUGCUGCCAGCAUAUAAUAAGGGUUGGGGAGUUCUACUUAAAACAACCAAAACCAUAAGAAUUUGAAAUGUAGAAAAUUUGAAAAUCCAAAAGAAGCUCUUAGCUCACACUGCCAUAAUAAAAUACCGCAGACUAGGUGACUUAAAGAACAGAAAUUUGUUUCUUACACUUGCAGAGCCUCAGGAAUUCAAGAUCAAGGUGCUGACAGAUUUGGUUUCUUGUGAGAGCUUACUUCCUGGUUUGCAGAUGUCAGACUUCUGACUGUGCACUGACAUGGCCUUACCUCUGUGUGCAGACACCUGGAGCAAGAGCAAGCUUUCUGGUAUUGCUUUUUAUAAGGACAGUAAACCUAUAGGAUCAGGGCCCUAUUCUUAUGACCUCAUUUAAUGUUAAUUAUCUCCUUAAAGGCCCUAUCUUUAAAUACAGUCACAUUGAAGAUUAGGAUGUCAAUGUAUGAAUUUUGGGAAGACACAAAUCUUCAAUCCACAGCAUAAGCUAAAUAUACAAAUGUAUUCAACAUAUUAUAUAAAAUAUAAUUAUAUAUAUA